CCUACGGGGGGCAGCAGUCGAGAAUCUUCGGCAAUGGGCGCAAGCCUGACCGAGCGACGCCGCGUGCGGGAUGAAGGUCUUCGGAUUGUAAACCGCUGUCGGCGGGGAUGAAAUGCAUGGGGGUACUCCCCUGUGUUUGACAGAGCCUCGGAGGAAGCACGGGCUAAGUUCGUGCCAGCAGCCGCGGUAAUACGAACUGUGCGAACGUUAUUCGGAAUCACUGGCGUUAACGGGGGCUUAAGCGGGGUGUGAAAUCCCCCGGCUCAACCGGGGAACUGCGCUUGAAACUGGGGUGCUCGAGUGAGGUAGGGGUGUAUGGAACUUCCGGUGGAGCGGUGAAAUGUGUAGAUAUCGGAAGGAACGCCGGCGGCGAAAGCGGUACACUGGGCCUUGUCUGACGCUGAGGCACGAAAGCUAGGGGAGUGAACGGGAUUAGAUACCCCAGUAGUC
RNAcentral lists this ribosomal RNA (450 nucleotides) under uncultured bacterium. Its description in RNAcentral is "partial 16S ribosomal RNA". It matches the Rfam family "Bacterial small subunit ribosomal RNA", at positions 338 to 795 of the family's 1533-position model. The record is from RNAcentral.